This 516-nucleotide ribosomal RNA is filed under the name uncultured bacterium. RNAcentral's name for it is "bacterial SSU rRNA". It matches the Rfam family "Bacterial small subunit ribosomal RNA", at positions 8 to 518 of the family's 1533-position model. The record is from RNAcentral.
AGAGUUUGAUCCUGGCUCAGGAUGAACGCUAGCUACAGGCUUAACACAUGCAAGUCGAGGGGCAGCAUGAUCUAAGCUUGCUAGAUGAUGCGACGCGCACGGGUGAGUAACGCGUAUCCAACCUUCCCUAUAGUAGAGGAUAGCCCGGCGAAAGUCGGAUUAAUACUCUAUGUUUUCCAAUGCAGACAUCUAAGUUGGAACAAAGGUUCACCGCUAUAGGAUGGGGAUGCGUCUGAUUAGAUAGUAGGCGGGGUAACGGCCCACCUAGUCGACGAUCAGUAGGGGUUCUGAGAGGAAGGUCCCCCACAUUGGAACUGAGACACGGUCCAAACUCCUACGGGAGGCAGCAGUGAGGAAUAUUGGUCAAUGGGCGAGAGCCUGAACCAGCCAAGUAGCGUGCAGGAUGACGGCCCUAUGGGUUGUAACUGCUUUUAGUACGGGGAUAAAGUGAGGGACGUGUCCCUUAUUGUAGGUACCGUAUGAAUAAGGACCGGCUAAUUCCGUGCCAGCAGCAGC